GAAAUGCGAUAAGUAAUGUGAAUUGCAGAAUUCCGUGAAUCAUCGAAUCUUUGAACGCACAUUGCGCCCUCUGGCAUUCCGGGGGGCAUGCCUGUCCGAGCGUCAUUACGCACCCUCAAGCCCGGCUUGUGUGAUGGGCCCUGGCGUCUCGUUCGCGAGACGGGCCCGAAAGGCAGCGGCGGCGUCGACCCGAUGAACCCGAGCGUAUGGGGACUUUUGUCACACGUUUGCGGUGCGGACCGGCGCCUGCUUGACUUUUCUGAUUAUCCAGGUUGACCUCGGAUCAGGUAGGGAUACCCGCUGAACUUAAGC
Molecule: unclassified non-coding RNA, 312 nt
Filed under: plant metagenome
Description: partial contains 5.8S ribosomal RNA, internal transcribed spacer 2, and large subunit ribosomal RNA
Rfam family: 5.8S ribosomal RNA (bases 1-105)
Source: RNAcentral